GGGAUGACGUACUGUUCCAUGACUGACAGAAAAAAUGAGCCAAUCAUGACAGAAAACUGAGCCUAUUAGGCACAACACUGUAUUUUCUGCUGGCUAGCCCCACCACCACAGAAAACAAUGAGCUAGUCUGAAGCACCUGCAAUUUGGAGCUGCCUUACUCAAGAAAGCAAAAAAGAGACCAUGUUUCUAAGUCCCCUCCAGCACCAUGAUUAAGAGGGGAUGACUACUCCACUCCACUAUCAUUGUCAACUCUCGCCUGACAUUAACUGAAGCCACGUCUCACGUGCCACUCAUCCACCGGCACAUUGAAUGUUUCCCCUCCAAGCACUUCAAAUCCUGUCCUGCACUGAAGUCAAGACUCUGAACACCUCAACUCAUGCAUCAUACUCUCAUUCAAUCACAAUCCCUUCCCAACACUGUAUGCUGAACUGAGUCAGACCUGCAUGGGACGCCAGUUGCCCUCAGAGGUUGUUCCUGGACAAGACCAUCACCUGUCCUGCUGUGGUUAGCUCUGGUUGGUUGGGACUGUUGCCUCCAAACCAGCCCUCCAUCCUCACUGGACAGCUGUCUGUACCAUGCUGGUAAUGGUGACUGAGCACUUCAGAGCCUUCUAGAGCGACCAUCUAGCCUGUGGUUGCUGGACCAGAAAGACAGGCCACCCACUUAGUUUGGGUUCCUGGAUCCUUUCACAGCAUUAUAAGGUUGUGUUGCGACAUGGACUUAACAAUGACCCAAGUCCAGCUCAUUUAAACCCUACCAUUGUGUUACUGAGUUGUCAUUAUGCUUCAGCAAAUGAAUAUUAUCCCAGGGGCGAUGGAAGACACAAUGUAAAUAACAUAAUGUAUGUCCCUCUUACUGCCCUGAAUGCCUCUGCUGAUCCUGCAGCUAUUGAAUGCAGUAAUCAUAUGCCUAUGAAACAGAUACUGUUAGCACUGAAGUGGUGUGCCCUAGUAGGAAGUCCACUGUGUGCAGCUCACCCUGCACGAAUAAAGAUAACCAGAGUAUGUCUACCUUUGCUAAGCUUCCCAGUAAAGCAAUAAAAAUAAUCAAGCAUCCCAGAAAAGUGUUAAAAAAUAGCCCAGGUUAACAUAUGUAGCUUAAGAAAAAAUAGUUCAUGAAAUCAAUAAUUUGCUUGUAACAGAUGACAUUCAUAUUCUGACCAUCUCUGAAACUCACUUAGAUAAUGCCUUUGAUGAUACAGUGGUAGCAAUACAUUUACGGAAAGACAGAAAU
Oncorhynchus tshawytscha (Chinook salmon) is the source of this 1233-nucleotide long non-coding RNA. The record is from Ensembl. Lineage: Eukaryota; Metazoa; Chordata; Actinopteri; Salmoniformes; Salmonidae.